Ctenopharyngodon idella (grass carp) is the source of this 6306-nucleotide RNA transcript. It is a transcript of the gene named protein polyglycylase TTLL10-like, with no coding region annotated. NCBI's taxonomy places the organism in Eukaryota, Metazoa, Chordata, Actinopteri, Cypriniformes, Xenocyprididae. The record is from RefSeq and is a predicted model, not a curated record. The transcript is spliced from 20 exons.
CAUAGAGUUUGGGACACACCUGCAAGCGCUAGAGGCUAAGGAGAUUGGCUGUGGCAUGAAAAUUACACCUGUGGGGGUGGAGGGGGCCUGUUACAUGUAAAGCAAGCUCUUUACAAAUUCUGUCUCUCUUCUCAAAGAGGUUAAACAGGUAGCAUCACCUCGAGCUCCCGGCAAAGAGCGUCUUCGUUGAGACAAAGACUCACCUGCCUUGCUGCUCUGUUAGUUUCUACGCCCAGCGUCGUGUUGGGAAUCUGGUUUCCCGCCUCAAGAUGGUCUUCUUCCUGGCUUUCGUGUUGCAAAAAUCUUAAAGGGCGUCGUUCAGUUGAAGAGAGAAGAGAAGGACAUGCUUGUGAAGCGGCGUAACUGACGAAGUGUGGUGUCUCUCGUAUCUAGUGGAUCAUGGCGAGGACGCAACGGAUCUUGGCUGGUUGGGGGGAGUGACUGUGAUGUCAUCUGAGAGCUGGGUUGAGCCCCGUCAGCACAGAGAAGAGCCAGGUGCCGGACAGAGACAGGACACACAGAAUGUCUGUGGAGUCACACAGCAGACAAUGAGCGGUCAGGACCAAUCAGAUGAGGAGGAGAAGGGCAGUGCGCUGAAUGCUGGGGUUGAGGUUGUGGUGCUACAACAUGUGAAUGGAGCUGAAAUGCAGAAGGAGAAGAACAAGGACACAAGGGGGAGAAGACGGGCCGCUCAGAAUAUACACAGAGUAAAACAUCCAGAUGCAGCCCUGCCAGUGAGCGUCUCAUUUGUUGAGAGGGACAGAGACAAGCGGCCUGAAGAUCCACGAGGCCCUGGACCCUUCUUUUACUUUGGGGGAAACAAUGGGGCCUCCAUAGUUGUUUCAUAUUGUGAGGGUCGAGGCUGGCAGCGAAUAUAUGACAAGACCAGGACGGACUACAAGCUCAAGUGGUGUGAAACUAAAUCACCUGCUACCUACAACAGCUUCAAAGCAGGUGGCCAGUUGCUUUACCAGAUACCCAAUAAUAAUGUCCUGACCACUAAGAUUGGCCUUCUGAACAGCCUACGGGAGUAUGACAGAGUCAGCAGCAAGGUUAACUAUGGAUGUGGAAACAGGAGAAUGAAGCUGGAGGACUUUUUUCCUGUCACUUUCCGUAUGGAUAUGAAGGAUGAGAGAGAGGCUUACUUUAAAGGAAUAUGCAAUGAUAAAUCCGGUAUGUGGAUCUGCAAGCCGACAGGCCUUAAUCAGGGCCGUGGUAUUUUUCUACUGCGGAUGCCAGAAGACAUCACAGCAUUCAGAGAACGACUGCAGAACACAAUAGAGAAGCAGUCCAACAGGAGGUCACCUUUCAAUAUGCCACAAGCUCUGAUUGUUCAACAGUACAUCCAGAACCCUUUGCUACUAAAAGGGCGAAAAUUUGAUGUGCGGUCAUACUUUCUAAUUGCUUGCACCUCGCCAUACAUGGUGUUUUUUCGCCAUGGUUAUGUCCGAUUGACAUGUAACCUUUAUGACCCCAACUCUGACAAUAUCACAGCCCACUUGACCAAUCAAUACAUGCAGAAGAAAAAUCCUCUCUACAGCCUGCUAAAAGAGGAAACCGUUUGGUCUAUGGAGCGCUUCAAUACAUACAUUAAUGAGACAUACAUGCUGUCAAAGGGUCUGCCCAAAGAUUGGGCUCUGGGUCCUUUUGCAAAAAGGAUGCAACAUAUCAUCAUGCAGUGCUUUCAAGCUGUCAAAGCCAAGCUGGACUGCAAACUUGGUUACUUUGACCUAAUUGGCUGUGACUUCUUGAUUGAUGAGGAUUUCAAGGUCUGGUUGCUAGAGAUGAACUGUAACCCUGCCCUGCAUACUAACUGUGAAGUGCUGAAAGAUGUAAUACCACGGACAGUCACUGAGACACUUGACCUUUCUUUGGAAAUCUUCAAUAAGUCUUGCUGUGGACUGAAACUCCUGCCACUAAACAGUCAAAGAGAGUUUUUGUUGUUGUAUGGUGGUGAGACUGCGGCUAUAACUAAAAAGAGACGCAAAACCACCGGGCCCUUCUCGACCCUCCACCCAAAGAGCAGCUCCACCCACAAUAACACAGACAAAACUGUUGCCAUCGAAACACAAACAGGGAAAUCAACUAAUAGGGGCAGCAAGUGUUCUGAAACUCAAGCCAAAUUUCCUUUCCCUUCCACCGCGAUCCACUCUUCCUCUGUUUUGUCCAAUACCAGCCCACCUUCACAGCAACCUGUGGAGUUACCAAUGAAACAUUCAGCAGUAGCAACUUUAUCCCAGAAGCCUCUGACAUCCAAAGCUCAAGAAACAAAUCAGCCUCGACCAUACCAGCCCAGACCUGUCCGUGCACGUGUGGAGUUGCAGCUCAGCAAGUGCACCUGGCAGCAACCUGCAGUGGUAUCCAACCUCAAAGUGCCUCCACAACCGGUGAGAAGUGCUAUCAGGUCAUUGUCUACACCAGCCCUGAGCAAAGACUUAAACCCCACACAAAGACUUGGAGCUCAAGGCCGCCAAACAGACAAAAUGAUGCACGUGAGCGGCAACCUCAAGAUGUCCUAGAUUCAUUUGGCUGAGCCGUACUUCCUCCACACUGUGGGGACAGAAAAGAAAGAGACCAAAGAAUAGGAAGAUGAUGGGUGACUGCACUUUCAAAUCAAAACAGUUAUAAGGGCUUCUUCUCUGAAUAAUUAGCAUUUUCUUCUGCUUGAGUCUAAUGUUGUUCCUCAUCACCAGAAGCAUCAUGCUCAUUUAAACUGAUGCUCCUGCUGAUUUUGUUUUUUAAUUUUAUUUUUUACAUGUCACCCAUUUAUUUAUCAUACAUCAUCUAUCCUCCCUCAUGCCGCUCAAAACUCUGUGGAAACCAAAGUGGGUUAAACUUAUUAAAAUGUCAAAGCUGCUCUUUUCCAUACAAUGAAAAUGCAUGGUAAAUACAGACUAAAGUCUGUGUAACUGCUUUAUUUAUUAUAUAUUCCUUGCCUUUCAAAAGUUUGGGGUUGGGAAAAAAAAAAAAAAGUAAAUAUUUUUGGUAGAAGUCUUUUAUGCUCCCCAAGGCUGCAUUUAUUUGAUAAAAUGAUGAAUAAAAGUUUAUAAAAGUAUUAAUUUCUUUAACAAAAAAAAAAAAAAAAAUUUCUUACUGAUAACCCCUUUUUUGAGCAUAGAUGUGAAAAUGCACUAUUCGACUUAAAUGGUUGCAAUUCAUGAAUGCUUUGGAACACAGACAUAAGGUUGCGUCUUAUUGCUGAAGUGAAAGCACUUCAAAGUGUAAAAAAGUUAGAAGUACUGUAAAGCAAAUAUACUGUACAUGUUUUAUUUUACACAAAAUACAUAUUUUACUUUUUUUUUACUCUAAAAAUGCUAUAAAAUCAAAGCCAUAUCAAGUUGUGUUCCAAAUUUGGAUGUUGAUAUCACAAAAAUUGUUUGAAAAAGUUCCUAUUAGAACUUGUUUAGGCGCUAUACCAAAAAAAAAGCCACCGGGUGUCACCCACAUUCCAUUAUAUUAGUUUUAUGCAUUUUCCCGUUACAAGUUAAUCCAUUUCUGUCACAAUAUUACUUCUAUCACAAAACAAUCACAAAAUAUGGAACCUUGAGUUUUAGACAUUUCCAACGAUAUGUGUUUUGUCAAGAUUGGAAAAAUUUUUGAUUAUAAAAUGUAGUAAAUUUUGUAAUAUGAAACGUGACACCACCCACUAAAAGGAACUUUUUUUGGUUAAAAAUGAUCCAAAAUCAAUUUUUGAGCAUGUACAUAACCAGCCAGUGUUCAAAACUAUCUCCUUACCUUAGCCAAUUCACAACGGUAAGCUUGUAAUAAUGUUUUAUAAUAAAAUCAGUACUGGUGGGUUUCCGCGGGACAUUUGAGCAUGCAGCCGUUCGUCUUUGCGUCAUAGCGUCACGUGACAACUUGACAUUAACCCAACAAUCAUCAGUGACAACUGAAGAUUAACCUGUAGUCAAAAGCAAAAGACUUUGGACUGUGGAGUGGCUACAGAAAUUGAAAUCUUAAUGUUAAUACACACUAAAUACACACAGUCACACAAUGCUGAUGUUAACAUUAACAAUUUGAGAACAAAGUAUAACAAUAAUAAUAAUUGAAAAAGUUUGACGUGAUCCAAACUAAGUGAUCAUUAGAUUUAAUCACCAUAGCGCGAUUGUAAUGCUUUUUUCCCAGUUGGUCAGAACAAAAGUGGCAGACAUGUUACUUGCUUGUUCAGAUGACAUUUUCCGGUGAAAAUUGUUGUUUUGGUCAUACUUCCAAAACUACAAUUUGUGAUUCCGAAGUACAGUAUCCACACCGAUGGUGACUGACAGCAAACAUUAGAUUAAUCUGCGCUGAGGAGCUGUGCCAAUACACAACCCACGUAAAGAUGAUAAUUCCACAAAUAACUGCAAUUGCAGGUUUCAAACAGAGAUGGCGACAAAGAGGCAAAACUUACAGACUGCAGCUUUAAUUGUAUAUGUGAUGGGGAAAAAAGGCAAUAUAAAUAAGAGUUAAGGGGUUACAAUUUAAACCCUUGCACACUAUAAAUGAAAAACAACACCAUUAGACUAAAACAUUUUUAAGCCUUGGAGAGAAAUGCUAAGCUGCUAAAAAAAAAAUUGUUUUUUGUGGGGAGGUUAUAUCUUAUCUCAGAGUGUCACAUAAUAAGACAGCAUCACUUCAGAUAUUGACACAGCAUUAAUAAGGCUCCUUCUCCUCACCAUCAUUUCAACAAAUUGCCUUCUUCAGUAAAGUUUUGGAGUGAUUUUGAAUGUUCUCUUGACUGGUUCAGAUAACCUAUUUUUUAUGUGGUGUUGGAGAUGCAGCCCAGCCACAGAACACUCCUUCUUCCUCCAUCUGUGGCAUAUGUGACAAAACAAACACCAGAUUAGACCUCUACACACUAACACGCUCCUCACCACCAAUAAACACAUGUUUGAGAUUCAGCUGCGGUUUUGUUGUCGUGGCUACAUUUUGCCUACUUUUCUGUAUUGACUUUAUGAAGUGUAAUCAUAAUCUUAAGUGGGAUUUGCUUUAUUGAUGCUGCUUGCAUCCCACAUGUGUAAAAUCAAAGUCAAAACAAACCGUUCAAUGCUUUCAAGCUCACUCACAGAUGAAACUGAGUAAAGUGAGGAAGUUGUGUUGGCCACUGCUGCGUCACUGCAGAUUGCAACAGGAAGAAAUAGUGCAGCAUUUGUGUGUAACUGCUGUGCUUGAUAGUUUCAUACACCUCUCUUGCUCCUCUUCAUUCGCCCAACGUUGGCUUUGGUUCAAUGUUUUUUACUGCAAGACACUUCAGGCUUCUGUGCACCUCAUUCUUGAACCCUGCUUAUAGUCUGUUGGGGUGUGGGGCAUGUGGGGUUGACCAGAUGGCCCUCCGUGUGUAGUUUAGAGGAGAAGCCAUUGGGGUUGUGUGUGUGGAAAGGAGAGGUAAGGUGCAGACAAGCUAUGGGAUGCUGCAGUGUGACCCAAAGGCAUACGGGAACUGAUGAAGUGGGCCCAGAUGAGAUCGAACUCCUGGAAAUCAACAAUGCAGGGCUCUGGAGUCUCGCUGAAAGCAGGCACCAAAUUUCCACAAGAAAUGGCACAGAUGAAGGUCCUCAUCGUGUUCCUUCUGUGAGGCACCUGAAGAAGGAGGACCCAGAUCCUGUCUCUGUGAGGGACACAACAAAACACAACCAUUCACAACUGGUGCUUUGGGGCUGGACAAAAAAAGAGCUCCAUCACAGGCUGUACACUCAGCCAAUCAGAGAAUGGGAAGGAAAGGCACCACACACCUAUGGAGACAUUAUCCACUCAUCUUCUGUGUAUUUACACAGUGGAUACACAAAGGCUAUGAGUGAAAGAUAUCUGGUUUUAUUUUCCUUCCAUUUGUUAAUCCUUGCUUUGGACAGCUCUAAUCGUGAUUUUAUUUAUGAGGGCAUCCUUCCUCUCUCAGCCAUUGAGGUUCAUCUGAUCUCACAGCAGGACCCCAGUUCUCCACAUAUGUUUGAGAUUAGCGGACCUAUGGUGGACUCAAAGAUCUUCAUUUGUGCUAGUGCUGCUGAAACAAAAGCCUGGAUGGAGAACAUUGAGGAAAGGAGACACAAAUCCCUAAGGCAACAGCUGAGCCCGUCCCAUAGUGCUCUCUCAUACCUGGUGCCAUGUGAUGAAAACUGGAAGAAGGAGGAGCUUAAAAGAUACUUACUGCGUUCUCCAAUCUUGCAAUGGGAGGGGACACCUAUUCAGCACAUGGGCUGUCCAAAAUACCUUUCACUGGUGCACAUUAGCAACAUAUACACACAGGGACCUCAGGAGCGUUUGCUUGUGCUCUUCCCGUUUGACCUCCUCAUUCUGUCUCUUGACUGUCAUCAUGUACGUGUGAAAUAUGAG